This 4333-nucleotide long non-coding RNA is filed under the name Sus scrofa (pig). Its description in RNAcentral is "lncRNA (ENSSSCG00025033373.1)". Lineage: Eukaryota; Metazoa; Chordata; Mammalia; Artiodactyla; Suidae. The record is from RNAcentral.
AGGGCCACACCCACAGCAUAUGGAGGUUCCCAGGCUCAGGGUCAAAUCAGAGCUACAGCUGCCAGCCUACAUCACAGCCACAGCAACUCAGGAUCAAGCUGCUGCGUUUGCGACCUAUACCACAGCUCAUGGCAACAUCGGAUCCUUAAGCCACAGAGUGAGGUCAGGGAUUGAACUCGCAUCCUCAUGGAUCCUAGUCAGGUUUGUUAACCGCUGAGUCACGAAGGGACCUCCCUGCUCAGGCAUUUUUCUUCUUCAACAAUGCAUAUUAAUAUAGAUACAAAUAUAAUAAUAUAAUGAUGUUGUUUCAACAUCAUUCAAACGGAUCCUCUAACCCUUCCUGAACAUUCUCCAAGCAACGUCGGCAAGGUCUUGCUACAAUCCAGAACUAUUUCAGACCUCAACUUAAAAAAGGUUCUUGGCCUUUCAUUGUGUCCAAGCUCUUCGUUCCAACAUUCAAAGCCCUGAGAGCCCAACCCCAUUUUAUGGCUCCAGCUUGGUUCCCUGUUAUUCUCCCUGCUCCUCCCUCUUACCCUGCUCCCACCACCACUAGAUCACGUUCUUUUACAUGAACUUGCCCGGUACCUUUCACUUCUAAGUCUUUAAGUUGUGCUGCUUCUUGUUGUCAAAGUCAUCUUCACUGCCUCCUCUGCUUUGGGGAGUUCUAUGGAACUCAAGGGUGAAGUUAAAAAUCCACAUUUGCCAAAAGUUUUCCCAGCCAUAGAACUGAUCUACCUCCUAAUUCCUCAUGGCGCCAUAAUAGCGCAUUCACAGUGGUCCCAUGAAAGCAUCAUAUAUGUGGAUUUUUCCUUUCCCAACUAGAGGUAGACUUCUUUAAUAUUUAAGUUAUUCAUCUUCUGACUUUUCCUUCCCAUGACAAUGAGCCCCAAUUUCCAACAGUCCUUUGAAAGAUGCUCAGUGCAUGAGGAUGAGCUGAAUCAAUGACAAAGGUGAGUUUAGCAUAAUCUUUGGAGGGAUCUCCAGCCAGAUUUAUCUCAGCUAUGCCCUGGCAGAAUUCCUUGAGAACAGAUGAGGAAGGGCCAGACUGAAGAGGCAUUUAAGAUAAAAAGGGGAAAAAUUAGGUUGUGCACCUCUUUCUAAGCAGAUUUUCUAAUUUUGCUAUGUCAGAAUAUGUGUUGAAUGUGCACUCCAAGAAUAUUUACUAUCGAGAUCAAACUUCAAAAGUAGUGCGCCUAGGGUGUGCUUCAAAAAGCAUUUAUUCCAACACUUACACUUUCUCUUCCUUCAUUACAAACAUGACAGGUGCCUAGAGGUGAAUUCAGUUCCUCUAACCACACUGAUUAUGGAAUGGUCAUUAGAGGCCGUGAAAAUGAAGGUUUCUGGAGAAAGAUGAAAUUACACUUAUAUUAGGAUGUCAAACAGGACCUUGCAUGAAAAGAGCCAUGGAUCCAAGGGGAAAAAGAAAAGACCAAACCCAAAUGUGAGGCCCCUAACUGUAAUAGAGAAGCUGAUGCUUGGCUUUCUGGAGAGCUGGUCGUGUGUGUGUUGAAUUACAGGCAAUUAUCGGUGGUCUCCCUGUUGGCCCCAAAGAAUUUAGAACCGCGUCAAAGGGAAAUACGAUCCACCAGAAGGGAAAUCCUACUGCAUCUUUUAACUCUGGACCAACUCCUCUAGGUAGAUGAUGCGUUUUAUUUCCAUGAUGCAUUUUAUUCUUGAAGUCUCACAAACAGUUGUUGGUGAAAGUCGAUGUAAAGGUAAAUUUCUCUCCUGGGUCACUUGUUUUGAAAAACCCAGACUGGCCCUGUGAAAUUGUUGUGAUGCUGAUGACUGAAAUAAAACUGUCUCAGUGUCUUCACUGCCAUCCAGCAGUCAAUCCACAGGGAAGAAGUGACACUUUUGCAUAAAUCAACUGUGUGUUGUUCACCACUGUGAUAAGAUUUUGGGGUGCAAGACCAUGAAGCUUGGGCUGAUUCUUCAAGGAAAAUGAUGUCCUGAUCAAUGCAAUGUUAGCAUUAAUUACAUUUCAUUGUAUUAAUACAUGCCUGGAAAGUGAUAUAUUUACAUGCCAGCAUACAAGAGACCUGAAUACUAAAAAAUUAGGGAGACCAAUCCUUCCAUUGGUCUAGACAAGCUGGAGGGCAAUGGACACUCUCCACUAAAUGCAGUGCCACCUGGGCUGAUUAGAGCUGGUUCUGCUCAACUCUGCUUCCAGCCUACAUCGACAGCAGAAACACACUGCUCUUCUGACUUAGACGGAAUGAAGCUUACUGAGUAAAAAAACCUGGAAGCUAGUUAGGAUCAUUUGUCCCACAAAUAAUCUAAAAUAUAGGACAAAUGAUCCUAUCUAUAAAAUAGAAACAGAUCACAGCCAAGGAGAGCAGACUUGUGGUUGGCAAGGGGAGGGGGUAGGAGUAGGAUGGAUGAGGAGUUUGGGGUUGGUGGAUGCAAACUAUUACAUUUGGAAUCAAUGGGCGCUGGCAUCCUACUGUACAGCACAGGGAACUGUGUGUAAUUGGGUCACUUUGCUGUGCAACAGGAAGGAACACUGUAAAUUAGCAAACUUUAAUUUAAAAAAUAAAAUAAAUAAAAAAGAAAGUUCUUAUUUUCCAAAUUGGAUUAAAAAUUUGACACUAACUAAAUGUGAACCAUGGCCAAAUUAGUUUAACAUUCCCAUGUUUCAUUUUCCUCACAUGCAAAAAAUGAGCAUAUGAGCGUGUGCUGCUCCCAUACGUAAGGAGCAGCAUGCUAAAGCUGUGUUAGCCAAACCACAUUCUCAGAUAAAUAUUCUAGAUGAAAUCUCUCAUGAGUGUUCACAGAGUUUCAUUAAGAGAUGAUGUCAAGAAUGAGAUUCUAUGUUAGAAUUGUCUGGGAUAGCCUGAAUAUUGCUUGGUGAUAUUAAGUUGGAAUCUGUUUCAACUCUGGCUUUGGGGCAUAUGAAAAUCAUAUUGCAUGUUCUGGUUUCAAGUCUUUUUUUCUCCCUACAUUUAGGCCAAUAGUAAGGCAUUAUGACUCCAUAAACUUUAAGAAAACAGUUUUAGGCAAAUAUACUCAAUACCAUAGAUUUGGGGAUGCUGAUAACCACUGCUAGAAAUUUAAUCUACUCAUUCAUCUCCUUUUCAUCAUCUUUCCCAUGUUAAUGUUUAAAUAAGCAGAGGCCCCAAACGCUCACAAUUCAGGUAUUUUGUGCAUUCCUACUAUACUUGUCACAGAAAGGCACAGGCUUUGUUUAUGAGAAUGUCUUUAUCUGAUUUAUCUUGGAUUUCUUUCCACUCUCAAUCUCUGGAAUACUUCCUGGUAGAGAGGUAGAAAGUGAUGGUCAAUAAAAUUUGUUAAAGGAAUCAAUAGAUGAUUGAUUCAUCAUCUAUUGACUAGAUGGUGAAAAAAUGGAAGCCGCAUCAUCCUGAAUAGAGUGCACACACACACAUGCACACCCAUGCGCACACACGCACAUGUAUGUACACACAUGCACAGAGUCCUACCCAGGAAGCAAUCUUAGGUUACUGUAUAGUUCAGAAAUGGUGGAAAUACUUCACUUUCUCAGGCCUCACCGCCAUUCCUGGCUACAGCACAUACAACCAGUUGGCUUGGCAACUCUUCUGCUGAAAAUCCUCGUCCUUCCCCAGGUCUGAGGUACUGAGAUGAUGACUACUGAUUCGCGAGUUGUCACUUGGGAGGAAAUCAAUGUCUGACCUAGACACUGCUUCUCACUGGUCAAAAAAAUGGUCAUGUGUUGGGUUAAGUAGAUCCCUCAAUGGAUUGAAACAGAAAAGAACUCAUAACAACUUGGCAUUGGUCAAAGGAAGCCAAGGAAGAUAGAUGGUCAAACUGCAUUAACCAAAAAUGCCAGAUGAGGUUUCAGGGCCCUUGACAGUCAACUGACUCAGGAAAAGCAUUUCUACUGAUUAUCAAAUGGAAUCUAUCAUGUCCAAGUUUCAUCAUCUCAAUUGUGAGCAAAAGCAGAGGAACAUUUAUUAAUGCAAAGCAAAGAGAAUGCUUGCUAACACCCUUGCCAUUUUGUUUCAAAGUAUAGUAAAAAAUUUGGGCACUCUCUCUCCCCCAACUAGUUUCUUUCCUCGGCUUUUAUGUGGGCAGGGUUGUUGUAAUUUCUCUGUUCAAAUAAAGUCUGUAGAAAGCCACAAAAGGAGAUCUGGACCCUACAGCUUAACGGAUUCUGGAAAGCAGCUGGCUUGUAACAUGAGUCAUUCCAGCCAAGGCUUUCUCUUUUGUAUGUUUUUCUCUGACCUAAAGAGUGGGUUAUUGGAUGUCUUCUGGCAGGUGCUAUGGGAUUAAGGAGGUAGUUGGUCAGAAACAAACUUUGAAUUAGGUUUUUUUUUUAAGAGUUUACUAAAGUAAAUAUGAUCGUUAGCUUAAU